This 927-nucleotide long non-coding RNA is filed under the name Malus domestica (apple). RNAcentral's name for it is "long non-coding RNA (MDOM_LNC001973)". Lineage: Eukaryota; Viridiplantae; Streptophyta; Magnoliopsida; Rosales; Rosaceae. The record is from RNAcentral.
UUAAUUUGCUGAUUAAUUGUUCGGGUUUUAAUAAACCCCUAGUUCUCACAUACACCCUAUUUCUCAUUUCUCAAAAUUAGGGUUGACUUUCGUAUGUAUGAGAUUGGACACCCUUCUGAUUUUUUGGCAAACUAAAAAUUAUAGCUUUCUAAAGAAAAUUAUGGCUUUCUGAUUUUACAAUUUCAAAUGAUUCAGAAAACUUUGGAUUUAGAUGAAUAAUUAAAAUUGAAGUAAUAAGACACAAAUUACUGUCAAAGUAGAUCCCUUUGAUUCAUUUAAGCUGGUAUUAAAGGUGAAAAUUUUCUCAUUUAAGCUUGCAGUUCCUCCUUGGUGUGUGUUGUGCAUAAAGGAGAGAAAGUAUGUGGACCAUAUACUUUUUGCAUUACAGAUCCUCUUGAAGGAUCUGGAUGCACCUAUUGGAAGUGUUUGGCCUUCUCCGGAUGUUUUCUAGAAGCGAUUUUCAGUGAGUAUGAAUGCUUUUGUUGUAUGCUAUGUGCUGAUGAAGGCACUUGCUUAGCAGGUUUAGAAAAUUAGGGGAUGCACCUAUUGGAAGUGUUUGGCCUUCUCCGGAUGUUUUCUAGAAGCGAUUUUCAGUGAGUAUGAAUGCUUUUGUUGUAUGCUAUGUGCUGAUGAAGGCACUUGCUUAGCAGGUUUAGAAAAUUAGGGGAAACAAUAGCGUCAACUUUCCCGCCAGUUUGGGACACUCCAUGUGUAUGGUGUUGAGGGUAGGUAUGUAUUGUUUUAGUUUCUGUCAUGUAUUGUAUUGGCUCUCUUGUGGUGUAUUUGGUUAAAAGGGUACAAAAUUUGUUGAGGACGAGGAGGAAAUGGAGUUAAUCUGAUGUAAGAUUAUUGUAACCUUUUGUUUAUAGUUGCAAAUAAAUUGUGUUCUACUUGGUAUAGGAAAGCUAUUGAUAUGUUUUUGUUUGU